AUGAACCAGGUCCCAUAUUUUUCAUCGGGCCGAAUCCAACAAGAUUUUCUAAAUGGAUCUUUGUUCAAAAAUUCCUCUGUUAUCCCUGAGGAUAUACCAGUAGAAUGGAAUGCGCAUUUAAGUCUUGUAACAGAAACUUCGCUUUUAGAACGCACACCUGCCCUUGCUGUUGACUACCUGUUUGUAGUAGAAAACACGCAUGUCCUCGACAUCAAUGAAGAAGAGCAUGAGAUCAACGAAGAAAAAGUGCUCACUAGGAUCAUUAUUGGACCGUUACUAAUUAGAUUGAACUCUGGUUUAAUUCAUAGGCUACAAAGAAUCCAUUUCAUCUCAACAUUAUAUGACUACCAACCAUAUAGUUUUUUUGCUGCCAGGCAGGAUUCCAUGGGUAGUCAAAGUGCCUUACCAAAGUUAAAUGAGGAAGAAUUACUGUGUGUAUUAGGCGGUAACAUCCCUCAGAAUGUUGUCCAGUUUACAGCUUUUAAUCCAGUUCUUGAAAUUUAUGCUGCUUCUCAUCCUCCAGUCUCCUCCGUCAGACAAAGAAAAAUAUCCAAAGUCCAGAAACGCAUUCUUCCUGGCUCUUCAGAUGUAGUUCCUCCCAGGUUUACAUUAGAGUGGCAGUGUCUGGAUGGUAAAAUGACGACCCCUCUCCGGUUGAAGCAAAUAGUCUACACUCUCCUUUCUCUACGGGAAAAGUUGCCAAAUUCACUGUUAAAUGCUCUUCAAACCUUCAUAUCAGUCAAGGGUUUAGGUCUCGGCUCUAGUUUGAUUGUGAAUCCAGGGAAAACACUGAAAAUUUUAGAGAUUAACAAUGUAUCGAUUAACGUGAGACUCUCAGACAAGGAACUAAUAGAAAACACAGAAGAAAUCUUAAAAGAUGUAAAAUUUGAAAUUGAGAGUAUCAUUCUUACCUGCUCAAAGGCUAGUGUUAUAGUUUAUUGCCAAAUUUUGACAUCCUUGAUGUUCAGUAAUCAUAAACAGAAACUUUAUCAAUGUCUAAAAUUAAUCCACGAUACCUCCUUGGUCACUGAUGUGCAAUUUUACCAGGUAACUCCUUUUUUUUUAUUAGGUGCUCAUUAUUUUUACUCACAUGAAUUUAAUUUUACUCCUUUCAUCAUUUGUAUUCCUUGUUAUUCUGAAGUAAUGUUAGGAAAGAAAUGAAGUAAUGUUCCAAUAUUCUGUUUCAGUUCAAUCUUAGAGAUGAUCUGAAAGUCUUUUAUUCUGGAGGUUUAGCGCACUUUCAUACCGUAAUAUACCAUGUGUCCCAUGGACCAUUAUUAACCCAGUUACUUGGAUGAUCAAAAGUGAUAUUUCUUCAGUGUGCGUUGCCUGUAAUUUAAAUUAAAGUUAAAAUACCAGAUAAUAUUCCUUCUGAAUAUUUUCAUCUCUUUUGAAUUUGUCAUCACCCAAGUAGCAUUUUCAUCUACUUUCUAGGUGGCGCUCAUCAAGAAAAUGUCUACUUUCUAGAUAGAACAAUUUUCUUGAAAGAAAAUAGGUAUAAAGUAGAUCUAGAAAAUAGACACAAGAAAAUAGAAAGAAAAUACAUUUUUUCCUUGCAUUUUCUUAAAAGAAAACAUUAAGAAAUUGGCUAGAAAAUAAUUCUACUUUCAAUAAAUUUCUAUCUUUUUUCCAAAUGGAAAGUUGACAGAAGUAGACCUAUGAAAUAGAUCUAUUUUCUUUGGUCAGACUUUUGACUCGCAAUGUUUUUUCUUUCUAUUUUCUAGAUAACUCUCAUUUUCUUGGUAUUUUCUAGAAGUUUUCUUAAUAUUUUUUUUCUAGAAAAAAUUCUAUUUUGCUACUUGGGUAGUACACUCCAAAGAAACUCGUACGCAAAUAAAUUUGGAAAUUAGGAUUCUCUUUUUUCUCUCUCUGUGAUUUUUCUCUUUUAACCUUUUUUUCCUUUCAAUUUUGCAGGUGCUGUUUUAUUAGAUGUAAGUAUUUUUAAUGUCCAGACUGAGUUCAUUGAAACCAAUUUGUGUCAUUGUGCUAAGUUCUCCGUCCAUAAACUGCAAGCUUUCAUUGAAAAGCUUGCUUCAGAUUGUAACACUUGCUACAAGGCCAUGAUUUUUGGCGCUCCCAUGGUGCCUGAAAACAACGAACCCAUCGUCGAAGGUGAGUAGUGAAAAUAAUAAAAUUAGUUUUUCAAACUAUACAUGUCAUUGUCAUGUCCAAUUCAGAGAAGCUUUUAUUGA
Molecule: long non-coding RNA, 2192 nt
Filed under: Bemisia tabaci
Lineage: Eukaryota; Metazoa; Arthropoda; Insecta; Hemiptera; Aleyrodidae
Description: lncRNA ENSSSA3NGG004405
Source: RNAcentral